This is a long non-coding RNA of Manis javanica (Malayan pangolin), 2440 nucleotides long. RefSeq lists it as uncharacterized. The record is from RefSeq and is a predicted model, not a curated record. NCBI's taxonomy places the organism in Eukaryota, Metazoa, Chordata, Mammalia, Pholidota, Manidae.
CCUCCCCCAGGGCUCUCUCUGUAUCUCCCUCCUCCAAUCUACAUGGGCUACAUUGGAGGGAUUGGGGGCAGGGCUUGUGGAAUAGAGGACAGGGGGACAGCAUCCAACUGCUGUGACCUAAAAUCAAAAGAGGAAGAGUUAGGAAUUGGCCAAAAGUCAAGCCCCAGACCCGUGGCUCACCCCAGCCUCUCGGUCUCUCGGAGGACUUGUCUGGGGCUGCAGGAAUGGCAAAGAUUGACUCCUCCCGGCCUUCCUCGUGAGGCCUCCCCUCCAGCGCUCAGGCUGCUGAGGGCCCCUGUUAACGCUUUCUCAGGCCCCAAGCCCAGCCUGAACUUGAAUCCUCAGUUAGUGGUUGGUAGGCUCUGAGCAUCAGGAUGGCACCUCUGAGUGUCCUGCAACGGCUUGGUGUUGAGCAGGUGCUCAAUACACACACACGGAAUGAAGCAGCCCCUCUGAAACCAUCACCUAUCAGCCAGAAGGGGGCACUCUGCUGCCUACGGAGAUGGGAGAGCUCACUAUUUAGAUGAACAGGAACAUGCAAGGGCCAACUAGGCUGUGUUAUUUGCCCUUGGCCUUGAAUGAUCACCUGCUCCAUGGUCUUGAGAUCCCAGGGGGAGCUGGCUUCUGCUACUCUGCGUUUGCAGACUAUCCUGCUUGCCACGGGAGCUAGGCCAGCCCCUUUCCCAUUGCUCCCAAGGAACUGAAGCUGAGAGGCCUCUGGCUUCCUCCCUGGGGCCUGGCUGAGGUCCUUACCAUCUAAAGGCCUUGUAGUGAGGGACAGGAGAGACUCACAGAGGCAAACCCAUCAUCUCCCUCCCUUGUCUCCCAGAAAGCCUGAUGCUUGGGCAGGGGGUGGCUUCCCAAAGCAUUUAACCUGAGAUGUGUGAUGGUGCUGAUCCUCAUCUCUUUCCUCUAGCCUGGCCCCUGAGAUCCCCACUAGCUCCCCGGGGACCCAGCGCCCUGAAGUCUCGGGCCUGACCUAGCCUGUGCUCCAGGGGCAGAGAAAGUCUGGUCGCCACCUUGUCUCUACCGGGAGAAAGUGAGAAUGAAGCCAAUGUGGAGAAUUGCAAAGAGGUUGGAGUCCACGACCCAGCCUCACCUGGACUUUUCAGUUACAAAACUCAGUGAACUGCAUGUGCUGCUUAGGGGCUGACGGUCAAGUGUUGGAGGUGUCUUCUCAGGUGCCUGCCCUUCCCAGAUGGGCUGUAUGGUGAGAUCUUGUCCCCACAUGCACCCAAACUGCUUGGACAAGGGUGGUCAUUUGACCAGGGGCUGGGCUGCCCACUCAGACUCUUCUGGGAAUUUGGAAUUGGGCAUGGUCCUUCUGGGUCAGAGGCUGCAAACACUGGACUUGAGGGGCUGGGAGACUGAGGCUGCAGGGCCUCUGCAGACAGCAGGUAUGCUAGGCUUUGGCCAGCCGACACUGGUAUUACAUCCUGCUCUUCCAGUAGGGGGCGUAUCCUCUUGGAAGAAGGUCCGGAAGAAGGGCCUGGAAGUCUCCUGCCCCAGAGGCUCUGGAGAGAACACGGCCCUGCCAACACCUUGAUUGGACUUCUAGCCUCCAGGACUGUGAGAGGAUAUAUUUCUGUUACUUUCAGGGGGACAAGUACCAGCUUGUGGUACUUGUCACGGCAGCCACAGAAGUUACUAUCCUCUGCAAUUGCACAGGGACAGCAGAAACCUAGGGUACAGUAUAGAUGCACCCUUGGGGGUGCCAGGGGCAGCUACGCAGGUUGGUGACACCCUCUCUUCCUUUUAAUUCCCCAGUCCUGGCCUUCCUGCAGCUGGUGGUCCCUGGUGAGUUGAGCCUUAUCUGAGCCCAUUCAACCCUAUGCAGCCAAUCCCUGUAUUAAAUUCCUUCCACUUGAAACACCUGGACAGUUUCUGUUCUGGCUGUGUUCUGACUGCUCCAGAGAGAGAGAACAUAAAUCGUAUCCUCUAUAGCUACCACGGGCCACAGGACUGGCUCUCGGCUCUAGUCUGCCCUCAGUGUAAUCUAAUGGGUCUCAAACGGGGAAGAUUCUGUCCCUCCCCUGCAGGUGGUGUUGGCAUUGUCUAGAAACAUCUUUGGUUGUCACACCUGGGUUGAGUGGGAGAGGUCUGCCACUGGCAUUUAGUGGGUGGAGGUCAGGGAUGUUGUCAACACCCUCCAGUGCCCAGGAUGGCCCCCACCAUGGAUAACAAUCCAGCCACAAAUGUCAAUAGUGCCAAGGUUGAGAAACCCUAGUUACCCUAAUGCCCAGCUGGCUCAGAGAAGCCUUGGAGGAAGCAAGUCUGUGAUGCAGCCACAUUCUAGAGAAACCCAUGCCCGAGAGGGAGCCAGAUCUCAGGAUCCCACACCCACACGUCCAGACUCACCAGAAAUGAGCAAAGAAAGAUGAAGGAAACGAAGUAAAAAUAAGCAAAUUCAUUGCCACACUCGGGAGUCAGGAUGCCAGAG